CAGUCGCCGCGGGAAUACGUAGGUGGCAAGCGUUGUCCGGAAUUAUUGGGCGUAAAGGGCUCGCAGGCGGUUUCUUAAGUCUGAUGUGAAAGCCCCCGGCUCAACCGGGGAGGGUCAUUGGAAACUGGGAAACUUGAGUGCAGAAGAGGAGAGUGGAAUUCCACGUGUAGCGGUGAAAUGCGUAGAGAUGUGGAGGAGCACCAGUGGCGAAGGCGACUCUCUGGUCUGUAACUGACGCUGAGGAGCGAAAGCGUGGGGAGCGAACAGGAUUAGAUACCCGAGUAGUCCCUGUCUCUUAUAC
Molecule: ribosomal RNA, 301 nt
Filed under: uncultured bacterium
Lineage: Bacteria
Description: partial 16S ribosomal RNA
Rfam family: Bacterial small subunit ribosomal RNA
Source: RNAcentral